This 956-nucleotide ribosomal RNA is filed under the name groundwater metagenome. RNAcentral describes it as "bacterial SSU rRNA". It matches the Rfam family "Bacterial small subunit ribosomal RNA", at positions 202 to 1144 of the family's 1533-position model. The record is from RNAcentral.
AAAACCUGGCGCGAGCUGGGGCUUUAGGAGGAGCCUAUGUCCGAUUAGCUAGUUGGUGGGGUAAGAGCUUACCAAGGCGAUGAUCGGUAGCUGGUCUGAGAGGACGGCCAGCCACACUGGGACUGAGACACGGCCCAGACUCCUACGGGAGGCAGCAGUGAGGAAUAUUGCGCAAUGGGGGAAACCCUGACGCAGCGACGCCGCGUGGGUGAAGAAGGCCUUCGGGUUGUAAAGCCCUUUUGUUGGGAAAGAAAUCCAGCUGGCUAAUACCCGGUUGGGAUGACGGUACCCAAAGAAUAAGCACCGGCUAACUUCGUGCCAGCAGCCGCGGUAAUACGAAGGGUGCAAGCGUUACUCGGAAUUACUGGGCGUAAAGCGUGCGUAGGCGGUUCGUUAAGUCAGAUGUGAAAGCCCUGGGCUCAACCUGGGAACGGCAUUUGAAACUGGCGGACUAGAGUUUAGUAGAGGGGAGUGGAAUUUCAGGUGUAGCGGUGAAAUGCGUAGAUAUCUGAAGGAACACCAGUGGCGAAGGCGACUCCCUGGACUAGAACUGACGCUGAGGUACGAAAGCGUGGGUAGCAAACAGGAUUAGAUACCCUGGUAGUCCACGCCGUAAACGAUGUCAACUAGCCGUUGGUCCUAUUUACAGGAUUAGUGGCGCAGCUAACGCAUUAAGUUGACCGCCUGGGGAGUACGGCCGCAAGGUUAAAACUCAAAUGAAUUGACGGGGGCCCGCACAAGCGGUGGAGCAUGUGGUUUAAUUCGAUGCAACGCGAAGAACCUUACCUACCCUUGACAUCCAGAGAAUCUGUUAGAGAUAGUAGAGUGCCUUCGGGAACUCUGAGACAGGUGCUGCAUGGCUGUCGUCCGCUCGUGUUGUGAAAUGUUGGGUUAAGUACCGUAACGAGCGCAACCCUUAUCCUUAGUUGCCAGCGAGUCAAGUCGGGAACUCUAGG